This 364-nucleotide long non-coding RNA is filed under the name Panax ginseng (ginseng). RNAcentral describes it as "long non-coding RNA (PGIN_LNC010290)". The record is from RNAcentral. Lineage: Eukaryota; Viridiplantae; Streptophyta; Magnoliopsida; Apiales; Araliaceae.
AAUUAGUAUACGAGUGAGAAUACAAGAAUAAUACGUAAACAAUACGUUAUAAGGCUUUAAGCCAAAUGAAAUGGACUUGUAGAAUUUUGUAGCAAUUGGUAAAGUCCAAUAGAAGUUAAUGUGCAAGCCCAUGUGUGAGUAAUGUUAAAGCCCAAGUGGUUGUUAAAGUAAAGUCUAAAGUAAAUUAAUGAAAGCCCAAAAGCUUAAGUUAAGUUAAUUAAACAUAAGCCCAAGCUAUUGAUCCAAUGGGUUAGGGUGACCCGUGGGGCAACCCAUGAUUAUAUGGUUAAUCUUGGUGACCAAGAUAAUUAUGUGAUGACCAAGAUAAUUAUGUGAUGGCCAAGUAAUUAGUGUAUUGAGCAAG